CCUACGGGUGGCUGCAGUGAGGGAUAUUGGUCAAUGGGGGAAACCCUGAACCAGCAACGCCGCGUGAGGGAAGACGGUUUUCGGAUUGUAAACCUCUGUCCUCUGUGAAGAUAAUGACGGUAGCAGAGGAGGAAGCCCCGGCUAACUACGUGCCAGCAGCCGCGGUAAUACGUAGGGGGCAAGCGUUAUCCGGAUUUACUGGGUGUAAAGGGAGCGUAGACGGCGCUGCAAGUCCGGAGUGAAAGCCCAUGGCUUAACCAUGGUACUGCUCGGGAAACUGUGGAGCUAGAGUGCGGGAGGGGCAGGCGGAAUUCCUAGGGUAGCGGUGAAAUGCGUAGAUAUUAGGAGGAACACCAGCGGCGAAGGCGGCCUACUGGACCGUAACUGACGUUGAGGCUCGAAGGCGUGGGGAGCAAACAGGAUUAGAUACCCCAGUAGUC
RNAcentral lists this ribosomal RNA (440 nucleotides) under uncultured bacterium. RNAcentral's name for it is "partial 16S ribosomal RNA". It matches the Rfam family "Bacterial small subunit ribosomal RNA", at positions 338 to 795 of the family's 1533-position model. The record is from RNAcentral.